GUUACCCUAGCAAGCGGGUUACCCUACUUCAAUAUGUUUUAUAGGAAGCGUUUACAUGCGCGCUAGGGUUACCCUAGGGGUAGGGUUACCCUAUCAAACAGAUAGGGUGACCCUAGCAGCAGGGCUAUCUUUUUGUUUACAUAAGCCAUGUAAACGCGUCAGGUAGGGUUACCCUAUCAAGCGGGUCAAGUUAUUAUAUUCAUUCUACCGUGACUGUCAGACAGGCGAGGAUGGCGUCGCAAGAUCAUACUUAUCAACCAGGCGAGUAUUUUAAAAGACAUCAGAAGAAUAAAACGGAUAGGCAAUCCAGGGAAGUAGUACCAGAGGUACAUGUAAAUAAUGAAGAGUUCCUUUUGGUCGAUAACGCUGCGAAUGCGCCGAAUGAUGCACUUUCGACAACAAAGCGAAAAGCAGAGAAACGGAAGCAAAAUACAGACGCAUCCUCAUCGUCGACCGCAAAAAAAACGAAAAAAUGGUCUUGGUCGGCCGAACUUGUUGAAAAACUUUUGCGCUAUGUAAAAGAAUAUAAGACGCAAUGCGAGUUCAACGGAAUUGACUUCGAAGCCGACUUACAGAGCCUUUACACGGAGCUUCGUUCGUGCAUGGCAGCAGAAGACCCAUGUGAGUUUGGUCCACAAGCCUCGAGUGAACAGAUAAACCCACGCGAUAUGAACAAAGCAGAAUAUGAAGCAUAUAAAAGUAAACGAGAUCAGGAAAAGAAAUUAAUACGCAAAGGGUACGACCGCAUAAAAGAAAAAAUUAAAAGCGUUCGCCAAGAUUAUAGAGCGGCGGUGAACAAAGGCACACGCAGUGGUAGCGGAAAAAUUGUCCAGGACAAUUACGAUUUAUUGACAGACAUUUGGGGUGGAUCUCCGGCAACAACUUCCUUGCCUUUCGGGGUCGAUGGUAUGAUGAAUGAGAAUGACGAAAACGAAAUUGAUGUGGUGAACGUUGGAGAAAACUUUGACGACUCAGGACUGGCCAUUGAAGAACGACUGAAUGAAGGUACUGAAUGAAUGUUUAAUACAGCU
Molecule: non-coding RNA, 1031 nt
Organism: Paramuricea clavata
Lineage: Eukaryota; Metazoa; Cnidaria; Anthozoa; Malacalcyonacea; Plexauridae
Source: the annotation of a GenBank genome assembly